UUUAUAUGAGAGUUUGAUCCUGGCUCAGGACGAACGCUGGCGGCGUGCCUAAUACAUGCAAGUAGGACGCACAGUCUA
This 78-nucleotide ribosomal RNA is filed under the name Streptococcus dysgalactiae. RNAcentral's name for it is "partial 16S ribosomal RNA". It matches the Rfam family "Bacterial small subunit ribosomal RNA", at positions 1 to 77 of the family's 1533-position model. The record is from RNAcentral. Lineage: Bacteria; Bacillati; Bacillota; Bacilli; Lactobacillales; Streptococcaceae.